This is a non-coding RNA of Phrynosoma platyrhinos (Desert horned lizard), 72 nucleotides long. The record is from the annotation of a GenBank genome assembly. NCBI's taxonomy places the organism in Eukaryota, Metazoa, Chordata, Lepidosauria, Squamata, Phrynosomatidae.
GCCAGCGUUGCAUAGUGCUUUGUGCAUUGGACUAUGACUCUGGAGACCAGGGUUCGAUUCCCUGCUCAGCCA